GAUGAACGCUAGCGGGAGGCCUAACACAUGCAAGCCGAGCGGUAGAGUUUCUUCGGAAACUUGAGAGCGGCGCACGGGUGCGUAACACGUGUGCAACCUACCUUUAUCUGGGGGAUAGCCUUUCGAAAGGAAGAUUAAUACCCCAUAAUAUAAUGAUUGGCAUUAAUUAUUAUUGAAAACUCCGGUGGAUAGAGAUGGGCACGCGCAAGAUUAGAUAGUUGGUGAGGUAACGGCUCACCAAGUCAAUGAUCUUUAGGGGUCCUGAGAGGGAGAUCCCCCACACUGGUACUGAGACACGGACCAGACUCCUACGGGAGGCAGCAGUGAGGAAUAUUGGACAAUGGGUGAGAGCCUGAUCCAGCCAUCCCGCGUGAAGGAUGACGGUCCUAUGGAUUGUAAACUUCUUUUGUACAGGGAUAAACCUACCCUCGUGAGGGUAGCUGAAGGUACUGUACGAAUAAGCACCGGCUAACUCCGUG
RNAcentral lists this ribosomal RNA (479 nucleotides) under uncultured bacterium. RNAcentral's name for it is "partial 16S ribosomal RNA". It matches the Rfam family "Bacterial small subunit ribosomal RNA", at positions 28 to 507 of the family's 1533-position model. The record is from RNAcentral.